UACGGGAGGCAGCAGUGGGGAAUAUUGCACAAUGGGCGCAAGCCUGAUGCAGCAACGCCGCGUGGAGGAAGACGGUUUUCGGAUUGUAAACUCCUGUUCUUAGGGAAGAAGACAGUGACGGUACCUAAGGAGCAAGCCACGGCUAACUACGUGCCAGCAGCCGCGGUAAU
RNAcentral lists this ribosomal RNA (170 nucleotides) under uncultured rumen bacterium. RNAcentral's name for it is "partial 16S ribosomal RNA". It matches the Rfam family "Bacterial small subunit ribosomal RNA", at positions 340 to 524 of the family's 1533-position model. The record is from RNAcentral.